RNAcentral lists this long non-coding RNA (231 nucleotides) under Oryza brachyantha (malo sina). Its description in RNAcentral is "long non-coding RNA (OBRA_LNC003276)". The record is from RNAcentral. Lineage: Eukaryota; Viridiplantae; Streptophyta; Magnoliopsida; Poales; Poaceae.
CUUGGAGUAUGUUUUGAUUAUCAGCCUUUUAUCCCCAACUGCCCUUGUCUUUCUCAUUGCUAGCAAAAUUCCUUCAUAUUCUGUUAAAAUUUUUGUUGAUGCAAAUAGCAAAUGAACUGAGUAACGCAGUAUUUUCCCUCGGGAUGUUUUGAUGACUGUCGCAACCCUUCUUCUUGGUCGUUUUUUAACCUGUCAAUGUAUAUAAUCCAUGGGUUUUCUUCUUCGUUAGCC